UUCACAGUAGGGAAACCAUGACAAACCAACCUUUCAUUAAACAUGAAAGAAGAUGCAAGGACCUGCAAACAAAUCAGCCCCUCAAAAAGAGUCUCGACUAAAAAAUAGACUCCAACUCAAAAGAACAAAACUUAACAGAUAAUUACAAAACGAUUAUGAAAACUGAGGCCCAUGAAUAGGUAUUAAAUGUAAUAACCUCCUACACCUCUUCCUAGGAGACUUCUUCACCCCUCUAAAAAUCCUCCUUUUUUUUUGAUAUCCAUGUGUCCGAACCAGCUUGCGCGGACCUCGACUACAUUUGGUUGACAAGAAACUCGUAGGAUAUUAAAUCUUAGGUAGGUGGUCACCAUGGUUUGAACUCAUUCUCUUUAAGUCCUUUGCUAUUUACAUUGACCCUUAUUGACCACUUGGCAAUCCCAUGAUGGUUCACCCCUCUAACUACCAUUCAUCUUGAUCCAUACACCCCACAAAAUAGUAAAAGAGACGAGUCUGCGGAAAAACUAUGCCCUUCCCAGAAAAGGGAGGAAAUUGGAGAACUUCCUCUAACGUAAGAAUAGCAAUCCCUAUUACGAUCCCACAUGAUCCCAACAGCUGACAUAUAACGACUCCCGACUCCAUAAAACCUGAGCGAACGAACACUCCCAAAGAAUAUGAUUGAGAUCCUCCGACGUGCAUACACAAACAGCUCCAUUGUGAGCCUAACACCAAAGAGGAAUGCCUUUAAAGUCCGAAGGUGUUAACUCCCCAAAACUUGCCCAGCAAAAAUUUGACCUUCUUUGCAAUCUUAACCUUCCUAAGAGAGGAGAAAGAAGGGGGCUUCAGGAGGGGGCAAAGAGGCGCAUAAGAUUUGAGGGUUGGGGGCCAAAAACGAACACCUCUCCUCACUUCUCGUCGCUUUGUUCGAUAAAGGAUGAAGGAAGCUUAACAAAAAGAUAAAUUAGAACUCAAGGAAAGUAUAACAGAGAUCACCGAAUGCAACCUCUUAUUAAAAAGAUGAUAUAAAAGAGGGAACAAAGCACAAGGAGGCUUGUCUCCCACCCAAAAAUUCUCCAAGAAAAAUAAACAUGAAGUAACAGGCAAUUUUACAAAUUGUGAGAACAAGGGAAAAUUUGAAGUAAUAGGCAAUCCUGGAGCUUUUUGAAAAGCCUUUAGACCCAUAAGCUGAGGCCCACUCAAAAGGUGGGGCCCAUCCAGGAAGGUGGGGAUUAGAUUACACGUAAUUAUGUAAAUUAUUUGCUUUCAAUUAUAAUAUUUAUUUAUCUUUCGUGAACAAAUAUGCUUACAAAACAAACAUUCACCUCUAAAAUCCCAUUAACCUGCAAUACAAUACAAUACUACUUUUACUUUU
Momordica charantia (bitter melon) is the source of this 1348-nucleotide non-coding RNA. Lineage: Eukaryota; Viridiplantae; Streptophyta; Magnoliopsida; Cucurbitales; Cucurbitaceae. The record is from RefSeq and is a predicted model, not a curated record.